CGUAAAGCCUGCGCGCCCACGUGCGACAACUUUCCACUGGGGACCUUGGUGUUUUUACUGUGGCCAGCUUGACGUUUCUGCUAUGGGCAAACGCCGGAGCCGCGGCCGGAGUCAACUGCUCAGCACAAUGACCAAGAAGCAGAAGAAGCACCUCCGCGACUUCGGCGAGGAGCACCCCUUCUACGACAGGGUUUCCCAAAAGGAAGCAAAGCCACAGAUUUGUCAGCUGUCAGAGAGUUCAGAUACUUCACAUUCUGAAAGUGAAUCUGAGGAAGAGCAAGAGCACAUUUCAGGGUACCACAAACUGCUUGCUACAUUAAAGAAUGUUUCUGAAGAGGAAGAGGAGGAGGAGGAAGAAGAGGAUGACAGUGCUGUAGCUGAUGAAGAAAUGACCAAUGAAGAUGGUGAUGAAGAUGUCCGUGUAGAAGAAGAAAUAGCGGAGUUGGCGGAGACUCAUGAGCGUGUGUCUCCAGCUGAUGACCCAAAAGAAAAAGAUGGGGAGGAACCACCUGAUGGAUCACAGAACUCCUCAAAGGAGUUCACAGAUGCGAAACACGAGUCACUGUUCAGCCUGGAAACCAAUUUUCUGGAAGAGGAUGGUGGAGGCAGUUCUUCCCAGAGAGCACCCCAAGAUCCAUUUCAACAACAUGUCAACAGAGAAUUGAAAGAAAAGGAAAUUCAAGCUGCUGCUUCAAGCUCUCCAACUACCCAGCAGCUGAAAUGGCCCAUCCUGGGACAGCUUGUCUUUUCAUCAAAGUUCCAGAAGAUGGAAACAUUUAAACCUCCAAAGGAUAUUGACCUAAAGUCACUUCAUCUUCAGAAGCCUCUAGAGUCCACCUGGAAAAAAACCAAUAGCCAGUUCCUAUCUGGUCCUCAGAAAUCAAAUAGCCUCUUUACCCCACUCCAGAAAGAGCUGUUCUUAAUUAUGAAUUCUUACCGAGACCUGUUCUACCCAGAGAGGACUGCCCUGAAGAAUGGAGAAGAGGUCCGCCAUGUGUACUGCCUGCAUGCCAUAAACCACGUCCUCAAAGCAAAUGCCCAAGUGUUAGCUAACAACAGCAGGCGCCGGAGCCAGAAGCUUGGGGUGGGUGAAGAUGAUGACUUCAGGGACCAAGGGCUAACCAGGCCUAAGGUGCUUAUAGUGGUCCCCUUUCGGGAAGCUGCUCUUCGGGUGGUCCAGCUCUUCAUCAGCCUCCUUGAGGGGGACAGCAAGAAGAAAAUCAUUGUAAGCAACAAAAAGAGGUUUCAGGGAGAGUAUGGAUCCGAUCCUGAGGAGAGACCUCCCAACCUGAAGAGGCCUGAGGAUUAUGAAGCAGUGUUCGUGGGCAAUAUUGAUGACCACUUCAGGAUUGGAGUGGCAAUACUUCAGAGGAGCAUCCGUCUCUAUGCCCCCUUUUACUCCUCUGACAUCCUCAUCGCCUCACCCCUGGGCUUGAGGACCAUCAUUGGUGGCGAAGGAGAGAAGAAGAGAGACUUUGACUUUCUGUCUUCUGUUGAGCUUCUCAUCAUUGACCAAGUUGACAUUUACCUGAUGCAGAACUGGGAACAUGUCUUGCAUUUGAUGAACCACAUGAACCUGCUGCCUUUGGACUCACAUGGGGUGGACUUUUCUCGAGUUCGCAUGUGGAGCCUCAAUAACUGGGCCAAGUACUACCGCCAGACUCUGAUCUUUGGUGCCCUGCAGGACGCCCAGAUAAACUCUGUGUUCAACAAGCACUGUGUCAAUGCGCAAGGCCAGGUGGCUGUGAGGAAUGUCCCAGUGACGGGCUCCAUCAGUCAUGUGCUGGUGCAGCUCCCACAUGUCUUCCAGAGAAUGGACGCCCAAGAUCUACCUUUAGUGAUUGAUGACAGGUUUCACUUUUUCAUAAACAAGAUUUUGCCUCAGUACCGGGAUGCCGUCAUGUCCCAUACACUCAUCUAUGUCCCCUCCUACUUUGACUUUGUGCGUCUCCGAAAUUACUUCAAGAAGGAAGAGCUGAACUUCACACACAUCUGCGAGUAUACACAGAAGUCUGGGGUCUCCAGGGCUCGACACUUCUUCCUCCAAGGAGAGAAGCAGUUUCUGCUCCUCACAGAACGCUUCCAUUUCUACAAAAGGUACACAAUAAAAGGCAUCAGGAACCUGAUAUUCUACGAAUUGCCAACAUAUCCUCACUUCUACAGUGAAGUCUGUAAUAUGCUGAGAGCCACCAGUAGAGGAGAGGAGGCCACGUGGACCUGCACUGUGCUCUAUUCCAAGUACGACGCCCAAAGGUUGGCCUCUGUGGUUGGCGUCGAGCGGGCGGCACAGAUGCUCAGGUCUCCAAAGAAUGUCCACCUCUUUGUCACUGGAGAGAAAUGAGUGUGCAGCAGGACAGUCUGCAUCAGUGAGCCACGUAGACCUGAUUCUCAUCACUACCCCAGGAGCAAGCUCCAGACACACUGCAGUUCUGUGUCCCUGGGAAGUGCAUUAUAACUAGUGUUGGUGAGCACAACUGCCAGAUCCAAGAGCAAUCUGCAAGGACUGUCACAUUCAGAAACGAAGCUUGUGCUUGUCAGACGUGUAAGCUGAACUACCCUGGUCUCAGAUAUGACCAGUAGAAUCACCUUCAAGCUGGAUCCUGUGUCCUUCUCACUUGUUCGCUUCUACUUAGGGAUCAGGGAUUGUAUUUCCUGACACAACGUUCAAGUUUUUCUAUUUCAAGCCCCAUCUGUGGUGAGGACAGUAAUGUGUGUUCAGGUCCAGGUUGCUCAAGAAGACCUUGACAUCUUAAUAUUCCUUCCUCCACCUCCCAUGUGCCACUAACACAUCUGGCUAUUUGUUGUCAUCAAGGCUGUUGGUUGAGUUUUGUUUGUCUUGUGUUUUUAAUUGAUUGAUCCAUUGAUUGAUUUAUAGUACUUGAGAAUCAAACCCAGGCCCUUGCAUGAAAGUCCCCAACCCUUGUUUUUU
RNA transcript from Onychomys torridus (southern grasshopper mouse), 2929 nucleotides. It is a transcript of the gene named UTP25 small subunit processor component, with no coding region annotated. The record is from RefSeq and is a predicted model, not a curated record. Lineage: Eukaryota; Metazoa; Chordata; Mammalia; Rodentia; Cricetidae. The transcript has 13 exons.